GCUCAGGACGAACGCUGGCGGCGUGCCUAAUACAUGCAAGUCGAGCGGACCGACGGGAGCUUGCUCCCUUAGGUCAGCGGCGGACGGGUGAGUAACACGUGGGUAACCUGCCUGUAAGACUGGGAUAACUCCGGGAAACCGGGGCUAAUACCGGAUGCUUGAUUGAACCGCAUGGUUCAAUCAUAAAAGGUGGCUUUUAGCUACCACUUACAGAUGGACCCGCGGCGCAUUAGCUAGUUGGUGAGGUAACGGCUCACCAAGGCGACGAUGCGUAGCCGACCUGAGAGGGUGAUCGGCCACACUGGGACUGAGACACGGCCCAGACUCCUACGGGAGGCAGCAGUAGGGAAUCUUCCGCAAUGGACGAAAGUCUGACGGAGCAACGCCGCGUGAGUGAUGAAGGUUUUCGGAUCGUAAAACUCUGUUGUUAGGGAAGAACAAGUACCGUUCGAAUAGGGCGGCACCUUGACGGUACCUAACCAGAAAGCCACGGCUAACUACGUGCCAGCAGCCGCGGUAAUACGUAGGUGGCAAGCGUUGUCCGGAAUUAUUGGGCGUAAAGCGCGCGCAGGCGGUUUCUUAAGUCUGAUGUGAAAGCCCCCGGCUCAACCGGGGAGGGUCAUUGGAAACUGGGGAACUUGAGUGCAGAAGAGGAGAGUGGAAUUCCACGUGUAGCGGUGAAAUGCGUAGAGAUGUGGAGGAACACCAGUGGCGAAGGCGACUCUCUGGUCUGUAACUGACGCUGAGGCGCGAAAGCGUGGGGAGCGAACAGGAUUAGAUACCCUGGUAGUCCACGCCGUAAACGAUGAGUGCUAAGUGUUAGAGGGUUUCCGCCCUUUAGUGCUGCAGCAAACGCAUUAAGCACUCCGCCUGGGGAGUACGGUCGCAAGACUGAAACUCAAAGGAAUUGACGGGGGCCCGCACAAGCGGUGGAGCAUGUGGUUUAAUUCGAAGCAACGCGAAGAACCCUUACCAGGUCUUGACAUCCUCUGACACCCCUAGAGAUAGGGCUUCCCCUUCGGGGGCAGAG
Molecule: ribosomal RNA, 1030 nt
Filed under: Bacillus licheniformis
Lineage: Bacteria; Bacillati; Bacillota; Bacilli; Caryophanales; Bacillaceae
Description: bacterial SSU rRNA
Rfam family: Bacterial small subunit ribosomal RNA
Source: RNAcentral